Molecule: ribosomal RNA, 116 nt
Filed under: Klebsiella pneumoniae
Lineage: Bacteria; Pseudomonadati; Pseudomonadota; Gammaproteobacteria; Enterobacterales; Enterobacteriaceae
Also listed under: 4 other names
Source: RNAcentral
CCUGGCAGCACUAGCGCGGUGGUCCCACCUGACCCCAUGCCGAACUCAGAAGUGAAACGCCGUAGCGCCGAUGGUAGUGUGGGGUCUCCCCAUGUGAGAGUAGGGAACUGCCAGGC